GUUUUUUUUCCACAAAGCAACCCUUGCAGUAGAUAAAACCCCGAAAUCGUUGCACUUUCAAAUUCGGAAAGGCGAAGUACUUGGAUGAAUUCAAAAAAGAAUUCAUUAACAAGAAUUGAAGUGUU
RNAcentral lists this ribosomal RNA (125 nucleotides) under Poropsis sp. ID1_4. Lineage: Eukaryota; Viridiplantae; Chlorophyta; Ulvophyceae; Bryopsidales. The record is from RNAcentral.